RNAcentral lists this ribosomal RNA (495 nucleotides) under uncultured bacterium. Its description in RNAcentral is "partial 16S ribosomal RNA". It matches the Rfam family "Bacterial small subunit ribosomal RNA", at positions 28 to 507 of the family's 1533-position model. The record is from RNAcentral.
GACGAACGCUGGCGGCGUGCCUAAUACAUGCAAGUCGAACGCUGAAGGAGGAGCUUGCUUCUCUGGAUGAUUUGCGCACGGGUGAGUAACACGUAGGUAACCUGCCUGUUAGCGGGGGAUAACUAUUGGAAACGCUAGCUCAUACCCCAUAAGAGAAGAUGUUGCAUGACAUUUGCUUAAAAGAUGCAAUUGCAUCAUUACCAGAUGGACCUCCGGUGUAUUAGCUAGUUGGUGGGGUAACGGCUCACCAAGGCGACGAUACAUAGCCGACCUCAGAGGGGGGUCGGGCACACUGGGACUGAGACACGGCCCAGACUCCCAAGGGAGGCAGCAGUAGGGAAUCUUUGGCAAUGGGGGGAAGUCUGAACGAGGAAAGGCGCGGGAGUGAAGAAGGUUUUCGGAUCGGAAAGCUCUGUUUUAAGAGAAGAACGAUUGGGGUAGGUGACAGUUCACGUCGUGACGGUAUCUUACCAGAAAGGGACGGCUAACUACGUG